RNAcentral lists this signal recognition particle RNA (117 nucleotides) under Pseudomonas putida GB-1. RNAcentral describes it as "SRP RNA; RNA component of signal recognition particle". The stretch from base 9 to 105 matches the Rfam family "Bacterial small signal recognition particle RNA". From Rfam's summary of the family: The signal recognition particle (SRP) is a universally conserved ribonucleoprotein involved in the co-translational targeting of proteins to membranes. The record is from RNAcentral. Lineage: Bacteria; Pseudomonadati; Pseudomonadota; Gammaproteobacteria; Pseudomonadales; Pseudomonadaceae. RNAcentral also lists the same sequence under 1 other name.
GGUGGCCCCAUCGGUCCCCCCGCAUUGAUUACCCGUUAACCUGGUCAGGCCCGGAAGGGAGCAGCCAUAGCGGGAACAUCGAGUGCCGGGGUGUGGCUGGUGGGGCCGCCUCCAUUU